This 424-nucleotide small RNA is filed under the name Pan troglodytes (chimpanzee). Its description in RNAcentral is "processed transcript". The record is from RNAcentral. Lineage: Eukaryota; Metazoa; Chordata; Mammalia; Primates; Hominidae.
UUCUGCCCGGUCCCUUGUAGGAUCCAGUCUAGAAGGUGCAGUAACCCCUCAGACAUCAGCAUGGCUGCCCCCGACUUCAGCAGAACAUGAUCAUUCUCUGUCAUGUGUGGUAACUCCUCAAGAUGGAGAGACUUCAGCACAAAUGAUAGAAGAAAAUUUGAACUGCCUUGGCCAUUUAAGCACUAUUAUUCAUGAGGCAAAUGAGGAACAGGGCAGUAGUAUGAUGGUAAGUUUUGUGUGGAUAUGGGUGCCUGCUUUGGCUAUGUUGGGUGCAAAAGGUUUAACUUUCCAUGCUAGCCUUAUCUGGCAUUUGGGAUGCAUAUGGGAAAUAGAAGAACUCAAGAGGAAAGAGCAUUUGGGGAAUAUCCUCAACCUUAAAUCCUUAUCUGCUGUUACUCAGGGAUAUACUAGGAUUAUGUCAUCA